GAUGAACGCUGGCGGCGUGCCUAAUACAUGCAAGUCGAGCGAACAGACGAGGAGCUUGCUCCUCUGACGUUAGCGGCGGACGGGUGAGUAACACGUGGAUAACCUACCUAUAAGACUGGGAUAACUUCGGGAAACCGGAGCUAAUACCGGAUAAUAUAUUGAACCGCAUGGUUCAAUAGUGAAAGACGGUUUUGCUGGCAGUUAUAGAUGGAUCCGCGCCGGAUUAGCUAGUUGGUAAGGUAACGGCUUACCAAGGCAACGAUGCGUAGCCGACCUGAGAGGGUGAUCGGCCACACUGGAACUGAGACACGGUCCAGACUCCUACGGGAGGCAGCAGUAGGGAAUCUUCCGCAAUGGGCGAAAGCCUGACGGAGCAACGCCGCGUGAGUGAUGAAGGUCUUCGGAUCGUAAAACUCUGUUAUUAGGGAAGAACAAAUGUGUAAGUAACUAUGCACGUCUUGACGGUACCUAAUCAGAAAGCCACGGCUAACUACGUG
Molecule: ribosomal RNA, 497 nt
Filed under: uncultured bacterium
Lineage: Bacteria
Description: partial 16S ribosomal RNA
Rfam family: Bacterial small subunit ribosomal RNA
Source: RNAcentral